GAUCUAUGGAGAGGCACAU
This 19-nucleotide small nuclear RNA is filed under the name Arabidopsis thaliana (thale cress). RNAcentral describes it as "snRNA_03675". Lineage: Eukaryota; Viridiplantae; Streptophyta; Magnoliopsida; Brassicales; Brassicaceae. The record is from RNAcentral.